RNAcentral lists this long non-coding RNA (515 nucleotides) under Homo sapiens (human). Its description in RNAcentral is "non-protein coding lnc-MED9-2:1". The record is from RNAcentral. Lineage: Eukaryota; Metazoa; Chordata; Mammalia; Primates; Hominidae.
AUGGAGGAGCGUGGCAAUUUCAAGCUGACCCCUGGCUGCAGUGGCCUGGGUCUGUGUGGCGUUCGCGGCUUUGGCGACUGCGGUGGAGCUCCCUCGUGGGUCCCCGAGGACGCCUGGAUGGGCACCCACCUUAAAUAUUUAGAAAUGAUGAAAUUAGACACAGAAGAUGCCACCCAUGUUUAUAUAGCAUUCUUGGUUUAUCUGGACCUCAUAGAAAGCAAAACUGGCAUGAACUAAACUGUGUCAGAUUACCAGAACUCCAGCUCAUCUGCCUUGUUGGUACUGAGAUAGAAGAGGAGGGGUUACAGACUGUGGUGCCUACCCCCAUCACUGCUUCCCUCAGCCAUAACAGGAUAAGGGAGAUCUUGAAGGCAUCUUGAAAAUUGCCAGGUGAUCCAGAUUUGCUGAUGUCUUUUACUCUGGCCAUAAUGGAGUCUGAUUCUACAAUAGUCUAUUAUAAACUUACUGAUGGAUUUAUGCUGCCAGACCCUCAGAAUAUUUCUCUUAGAAGAUGA